CGUCAUCGUUAGUGCUGCUGGUAGAACACUAUUCGAAUCAGUGUGACGAGAUCACCCCAGAGAAACAAGCAAGAGGGACCGUCAAAAGCCCAACACAAGCAACUUCUUGCUGCCAACGAAGCCCAAAAAAGCUAAGUUUUUUUUUACUAACACACUUAAGUUACGUUCAAAUUCAGCGAAAAUACAAAAAUAAAUGUCUGUCUUAAAGGUGGAAUUACAUUUCAAACCACAUAGGCAGUAGAUCAGCUUUUAUUUAAACUCGUUCUCAGUUAUGUGCCUGAUGGCGAAAAUAAUGCACAAGCCCGUUUAUCAAUCCGCGCUUUUGUCCGUUCUUCUGUUCUCGUGAAUUUGAUUGACGUCAUCUUUCAUGGCCCAAGUACUGUUCCAAUCCAAAGAAUGCAAGUUACCAAGAACGCCUAAAAUGCCGAGAAGGGUCCAACUGCAGCUUGCAGCAGUCGCUCACGCCAGGCCCCCUGCUCACGCCGCGCCCGCGCACGCCGCGCCCCCGCUGGCACGCAACUUCCGACUUUCAGACAUGUACGGUUUGUUUACAAGACGCAGAUGGACCAUAUUGCCAUAUUGAGUCAUGGCGGCAACAACUCCCGGGAAGCACCUGUGACUUAGCUCAUCACAUUGCUCUGGGCCAGUGGGCAACUAAAUUUGGCAAAGACAUUGAGGUGCAUCUCUCCAACCACGGUUUCCCUCAUCAAACUACUGUACAUUCUUGUGGCAUCUUAAUGUUGAUGUAUGCACUCAGCCUGAGCACAGAGGCUCCAUUUUGGUUCAUGGAGAGGGACAUGGCACGCAUCUGAAAAUGGUGGUGCAUUAGUCUAAUGGAACGGUUCCAGAUUGACGGCCAUGGACAGAGGUUUGCAUACUGGACUAAUGAGGCCAGAGCAUUGCUCCAAGGUUCACUGCAGCCGAUAUACAGGGUCCCAAGGUCAGCAAGAGGGAACAUGAGGUUUCGAUUAGAAAAGGAUGACAGGUGCGUCAUAUUGGAGUUACCAACGUGUGUGCUUUCUGAAAUCCUAAAUGAAAUGGUACUACAGGAAGGAGAUAAGGCAUACUUAAGAUUGGCUCUUGUGUGUACCACCUUCAGGGACACUGGCCCUCAUUUAUCAAAAGUGCAUACACCAAAUUUCCAGCGUACACCCAAAACCACGGUGACUUUGAGAUUUAUCAAUAUGGACGUUGGCACUCUCAAAUCCUACGCCAGCUCAGGAGGUGGUGUACGCACGUUCUGAGUUAAUGCGGAAAUGCGCAGGAAAAAAAUCCUAACGCACUGACAAACUAAAAGAUAUGAUAUAUUAUGACCCACUGUAAAAAAAAAACUUCAGUGUUUAGUUUUGUGCAACAUGGACUUCAAUGUUUAAUUUGUGUGACUUUACCAAAGCAUUUGAUUUAUAUGUAUUCCUUCAGAUGCGAGCCUGUGCGCUUUACAUGACGUUUCAGGGUUAGGCCAGGCAGUUGCGCACGGACUGGGUUCAGUAAUAAAAGGCUUUUAAUGACCAAAAUAUAAUUCAGACUGUCAUUUUUAUUAUUUUGUCAUUCUUCUUCUUUUAAAUAAUAAUAAUAAUAAUAAUAAUAAUAAUAAUAAUA
Esox lucius (northern pike) is the source of this 1599-nucleotide long non-coding RNA. NCBI's taxonomy places the organism in Eukaryota, Metazoa, Chordata, Actinopteri, Esociformes, Esocidae. The record is from Ensembl.